Molecule: long non-coding RNA, 373 nt
Filed under: Ananas comosus (pineapple)
Lineage: Eukaryota; Viridiplantae; Streptophyta; Magnoliopsida; Poales; Bromeliaceae
Description: long non-coding RNA (ACOM_LNC001718)
Source: RNAcentral
GGAUCUUGGAUCGAAGGGAAAAGGUUUUGCGAAAAAGGACGGUUCAGCUGGUACGUGAGCUGUGGAGGCAUCACGCGGAGAAUGAGGCGACGUGGGAGCCAGAAGAGGGGAUACGUAGCAAGUAUCCUCAGCUCUUUCCAGAUUCUGUUAAGUAAAUUUCGGGGACGAAAUUUUUUUUAAGGGGGGUAAGAUGUAAUACCUGUAUCUAAUUAAUUUAAAUUAGAAUUUAAAUAUGUGGCCAUGAUUGUAGUUUGUGAUAAACCCGUUAUUAAAUAUUUUUGAUUUAUUUGUGCUGUCGGAUUAAGCUGAUUCGGUUGGAUUUAAUUUUCGGAUUAAUUAUACUCUAAUACUGGUUAGAGUAGGAUUGAGAUUU